RNAcentral lists this long non-coding RNA (3274 nucleotides) under Homo sapiens (human). RNAcentral describes it as "non-protein coding lnc-PREPL-3:5". The record is from RNAcentral. Lineage: Eukaryota; Metazoa; Chordata; Mammalia; Primates; Hominidae.
AGUCACUGGCUUUCUUGCGGGUCAGUCACUGAGCCAAUUUCCAAGUCCGUCACACCGGCUUUUUUCAAAUGAACGCGCAAAAGGCGGGGAAGUAUCUGGAAAGCGAUUGGUUCGUCCUAGAAAACGGUCAAACCCGGAGAGUCUGUACGGAUCCUUUCCGUUCUGUGAGGACCGUGCCCCCUUGUAUUUGACCUCUAAGCCUCGCGUAAAAGAAGCGCCAUAAGGGACCAACGAGCAGUCCAGCUAUAGGUGUGGACGCCUGGUCCCACCCGGAAUUGCAGGGGCUUGGCUACUGAUUGGCUAAGAAAGUCCUCCUAGGCCCUCAUUGGAGGAUCUAAACGCCUCUCUUCGGCGUGGAGACGGGAAGGGACGACUCAGACGAGGACAAGAAGUGGGCAGGGGAGAGGCGGUUGUUUUGCUUCAGCCGCGGGUGGGGCGCAGGCGAGAGUGGGAAACUGGGAAGGCCGGGCUCUGGGGAGGUGUUGCGGGGAGGGGAAAGGCCCGGAUGUUCCCUAACAAUGAAAUCAUCGCCGACCUAUCAGAGCCGCCGAGCUGGGAUACCUGCCUGACCUGUACCCCGGAGGGAGAAGAGUGGGCGGGAAAUUGGGGUGUCGGAAGAACCUGGAAAGCAACGUGAGAAAGUGGGACAGGUGUUCCCUUCAGGAGGAUUUUGUGCUAUUAGAGAUUAUUUUUAUACCAGCCCUUGACAUUUCCGUAUUUUGUUUCUCAGUCGGCAUUGAUAUUAAAACUCCCAGCCUAGUCUCUUGACAUGGACUUGUUCAUUUCGCAGUUAUUGAGCGCCUACUGUUUGCCAGAUCUUAUUAACUGUGUGUUUUCCUCUUCGAGAACUUGUAUCGUCAAUAACGUCAUCGUGAACCAGACUAGCAGUGUGGAUCAUUUCUGCAAUUAAGGCUAUGGCGCGGUGGCUGGCUUGCACAUGUCAAAUUAACAGACAGCAAUGCUUUUUAACAGACGCCGCCUAGAACCUUCUCAGCAAUCAGCUUGUGAAAAUUGGACAUCGGAUCGGGAGUUGUUAUGAUGGAUAUUACAUGCUCGGGCCAUUAGCACCCCAAUAAUUGGUCGAAAGGCUUUUCCUUUUCCAUCAAAGUAGUACUCAGACAUUUCCUGAAGUUCUGUUGUUGAUAUGAGCAGUUCCUUUCUAAUGUCCUCAUACAGACCUUUCAAGUCUCUGCAACCGAAUUUGAAAGGAUCGGUGAUCUGUAUAUUUCUCACCACUGUGUGUUUUACUGUCCGGGGUUGUGUGAUAAAACCGUGAUAUACUGUAUACAUUUGGACAGGCAGAUGUUAAGCGCUUCACAAGACUAAAAUAGGGUAUCUGAGACAAGCCGAAUCCCUUCCGCCUAUGAGCCUGAGCGCGGGCGCCGGCAGCGGCGCGCGGCCCUGGAGGCCCUGCAAGGCCGGGGGAGCCGGGCACACCGCCACCAGCGUGAGGCCAUGGUCGGAGACUGAAAGUCGCGGCAGGGUGGCGGCUCCGCCUCUGCAAUUCAGAUUUUUAAAACCUACUCAUCAAGUUUGUGUGAGAAUGGUGUUUCUUACAGCAUGGUGAAUAGACCACCAGCAUCCGAAUCAUCUGGGAUUCUGGGAUAGAGAUUCCCAGGUCCACUCAUGCCUACAAAUCAGGGACUCUGGGGACAAGGCUCAGAAAGGUGAAUUUUAAAAUAGCUCCCCAGAUGAUUUUUUUUUUUUUUUUUUUGAGACGGAGUCUCACUCUGACGCCCAGGCUGGAGUGCAGUAGUGCAAUCUCGGUUCAGUGCAACCUCCGCCUCCCAGGUUCAAGUGAUUCUCCUGCCUCAGCCUCCCGAGUAGCUGGGAUUGCAGGCACCCACCACCACGCCUGGCUAAUUUUUGUAUUUUUAGUAGAGACGGGGUUUCACCAUGUUGGUCAGGCUGGUCACAAACUCCUGACCUCAAGUGAUCCUCCCGCCUCAGCCUCCCAAAGUGCUGGGAUUACAGGCGUGAGCCACCGCACCUGACCUGCAGAUGAUUUUUAUGCGCAUCAAUGUUUGAGACCCUCUGGCACAGGAUAAUGGAGGCAGAUGUAAAGUAAAUUAAUUUCCUCACUUUUGCAUGUUGGGAGAACAUAUGUAUAUCUCACAUUUCCACUGUCCCCUUUAUUAUCAGCGUGAGAUCAUACAGUCCGCAGGAAGUAUUAUUGAAGUGACUUAUAAAAAAAUUAAAUUUUCUUUAAUCACACUCCAUUGCCUGACACCCCUUAUGUAAGCAGAAGGGAGUCUGAGACCUCAGCUUCUAAAAUGGGAACCAUGCUAAGGAUAAAAAACUGAAGACAUUUAGGGACCCUUGUCCUGUGAAUACAAGCAACUACAGAAAGGCAUGAGAACAGUUUCUUGGCUUGCUUGACUUCCUUCUCACCUUCCCUUGGUUGACCCAAAAACAAAUACAAAGCUCAGUCAUUUAGGUGGGCUGAUAAUUCCAUAUCAUUCAUACUUUCAAUCACCAAGAGCAAAAAAAAAAAAAGUAUGGAGACACCCCAGAACAGAUUUGAAGGUUAACUUUGUUGUAUGCUUUAUUUGCUUAAAAUACUAAACCAUUAAAGAAAGCCCAACAAGAGUCACAACUUUGAAAACUGCUGUUUACCAUCAUAAACAUAAUGUGUCAUAAACCCUGAGUACCAUCAUAAUGUGCUCUGCUACGAACUAGCUGUGUGACUUGAGCUAGUAACUAAGCUAUCUGAGCCUUGGUUUGUUCUGCAAAAUGGGAAUCGUAACAUCUUUCUCCAGAGCCACAUGAAGAGUUUUAGAGUCUCUUAGUAAUGCAAAUCAUUCCCCAAUAUAUAGUUUUAAAUAAAAACAAUAUUAAAUGUAAUGUAGAAAAAGUUGGGUGAGGAAAUCACAUGAUCACCCCUAGCUGCAAGGGAGCCCAAACAAUCAGGGAACUGCGAGGUCACAAGUUGCUUAGAGCAGAGAUUCCCAGUCUUUACCAAGCAUCACAAUCUCUUUAGAUGUCAUUUAUACUCACCACUCUUUUGAAAUUAUUAUAAUUAUUAUACUCAUCACUAGAUCUUGUUAUUUCAUGCAUUAAUAAAGAAGCAUAGGCUGGGCGUGGUGGCUCAUGCCUGUAAUCCCAGCACUUUGGGAGGCUGAGGCGGGUGGAUCACGAGGUCAGGAGUUUGAGACCAGCCUGGCCAACCUAGUGAAACCCCGUCUCUACUAAAUACAAAAAUUAGCCAGGUGUGGAGGCACGUGCCUGUAGUCCCAGCUACUCGGGAGGCUGAGGCGGGAGAAUCACCUGAACC